Molecule: long non-coding RNA, 350 nt
Filed under: Homo sapiens (human)
Lineage: Eukaryota; Metazoa; Chordata; Mammalia; Primates; Hominidae
Description: HSALNT0226512
Source: RNAcentral
CGUAGAUCCUGUUGUGUCCGGAAUUGGGUUGAUGGUUCUGUGUCGCUGGCCUCAACCUCAGGACAGGACAUGACCAGUGUCCCCCCUGGAUAGCAGCCAGGGGCCGUGCCAGGUGUGGAGACUGAAGAUGUGGCCAGCAGGACCCUGCUCAGUGGAGCUGCCUAGAAGCACCAGAGUGCCCCAGGGCCAGGAUGGAACCAUCAAAGCCGGCCAGAGGGCCCUGUGCCCAGGGAAUCUGUCCGGUUCGCGGCUGCUUCCCAGGCGCCCAGACCAGCGACCAGCACCGCGUAGGCGCUCGGCACAGACCGAGAACGGAGGCCCCACGCGGGGGCGCCCUGCGGCGAGGCGGG